RNAcentral lists this transfer RNA (71 nucleotides) under Hierodula zhangi. Its description in RNAcentral is "tRNA-Tyr". Lineage: Eukaryota; Metazoa; Arthropoda; Insecta; Mantodea; Mantidae. The record is from RNAcentral.
GGUAAAAUGGCUGAGGUUAAAUAGGUAGUAGAUUGUAAAUCUAUUUAGGGGAUAUUAUUUCUCUUUUACCA